This 82-nucleotide transfer RNA is filed under the name Aspergillus cristatus. It matches the Rfam family "tRNA". From Rfam's summary of the family: Transfer RNA (tRNA) molecules are approximately 80 nucleotides in length. Their secondary structure includes four short double-helical elements and three loops (D, anti-codon, and T loops). Lineage: Eukaryota; Fungi; Ascomycota; Eurotiomycetes; Eurotiales; Aspergillaceae. The record is from Rfam by way of RNAcentral.
GGGCGUGUAACUCAGUGGUAGAGUGUUCGCUUUGCAACAGCCAAUAUGCGAAAAGUCCGGCGUUCGAUCCGCCGCUCGUCCA